Non-coding RNA from Oryza meridionalis, 186 nucleotides. The record is from Rfam. Lineage: Eukaryota; Viridiplantae; Streptophyta; Magnoliopsida; Poales; Poaceae.
UAUAAACGCAACGACGAGUUUUCGUUUCUAACUUUGAUCGUUCGUCUUAUUUAAUUUUUUUUAUUAUUUUUAUUCAUAUUAUACGAUAAAAUAUGAAUAUUACUUUAUGCGCGACUUAUAUUUUUAAUUUUUUAAAAUAUAAUAGACAAUUAAAGUUAGACAUGGAAACUCAUGAUUGCGUUUAAA